This 106-nucleotide small nucleolar RNA is filed under the name Cephalotus follicularis. RNAcentral's name for it is "Plant small nucleolar RNA R71". It matches the Rfam family "Plant small nucleolar RNA R71". From Rfam's summary of the family: R71 is a member of the C/D box family of snoRNAs containing the C (UGAUGA) and D (CUGA) box motifs. Multiple nearly identical copies of this snoRNA have been identified in Arabidopsis, and it is thought to function as a 2'-O-ribose methylation guide for 18S ribosomal RNA. The record is from Rfam by way of RNAcentral. Lineage: Eukaryota; Viridiplantae; Streptophyta; Magnoliopsida; Oxalidales; Cephalotaceae.
AAACCAUGAUGAGGAUACUCUAAGAGGAGGUCCUUAAAACGUUCCAUACACCUAGAAAAUGAUUCAUUGGGUUUUGAUGAAACUGGAGAAUGUCGUUCCUAAGUUU